GCGGGGAUUAGUGGCGAACGGGUGAGUAACACGUGGGCAAUCUGCCCUGCACUCUGGGACAAGCCCUGGAAACGGGGUCUAAUACCGGAUAUGACUGUCCGCCGCAUGGUGGAUGGUGUAAAGCUCCGGCGGUGCAGGAUGAGCCCGCGGCCUAUCAGCUUGUUGGUGAGGUAGUGGCUCACCAAGGCGACGACGGGUAGCCGGCCUGAGAGGGCGACCGGCCACACUGGGACUGAGACACGGCCCAGACUCCUACGGGAGGCAGCAGUGGGGAAUAUUGCACAAUGGGCGAAAGCCUGAUGCAGCGACGCCGCGUGAGGGAUGACGGCCUUCGGGUUGUAAACCUCUUUCAGCAGGGAAGAAGCGAGAGUGACGGUACCUGCAGAAGAAGCGCCGGCUAACUACGUGCCAGCAGCCGCGGUAAUACGUAGGGCGCAAGCGUUGUCCGGAAUUAUUGGGCGUAAAGAGCUCGUAGGCGGCUUGUCACGUCGGUUGUGAAAGCCCGGGGCUUAACCCCGGGUCUGCAGUCGAUACGGGCAGGCUAGAGUUCGGUAGGGGAGAUCGGAAUUCCUGGUGUAGCGGUGAAAUGCGCAGAUAUCAGGAGGAACGCCGGUGGCGAAGGCGGAUCUCUGGGCCGAUACUGACGCUGAGGAGCGAAAGCGUGGGGAGCGAA
RNAcentral lists this ribosomal RNA (673 nucleotides) under Streptomyces sp. SJKR1103. Its description in RNAcentral is "bacterial SSU rRNA". It matches the Rfam family "Bacterial small subunit ribosomal RNA", at positions 85 to 772 of the family's 1533-position model. Lineage: Bacteria; Bacillati; Actinomycetota; Actinomycetes; Kitasatosporales; Streptomycetaceae. The record is from RNAcentral.